GAUGAAUGCUGGCUGCGUGCCUAACACAUGCAAGUCGAGCGGCAGCGCGAGUAUUUUACUACUUCGCCGCGAGCGGCGGACGGCUGAGUGACGCGCAGGAACCCACCCUAAAGUUAGCAAUGACUUCCCGCAAGGGUGGCCAAUCCCGCAUCGGAUCUUCGGCUUUAAGUCUUUGGACGCUUUGGGAGCGGCUUGCGGUAGAUUAGGUAGGUGGUGAGGUAAUGGCUCACCAAGCCGACGACCUAUAGCUGGGCUGAGAGUAUGAUCAGCCAGACUGGGACUACGACACGGACCAGAGUGGUACGGGAGGCAGCAGGGGGGAGUCUGACCCAACGAACGAGAGUGUGAGAGGGCAACGCCGUGUGAAGGAAGCAGCUUCUAGGGUCGUAAACUGCUGUUAUAAGUGAAGAAUAUGACGGUAACGUAUGAAUAAGCACCGGCUAACUACGUG
Molecule: ribosomal RNA, 451 nt
Filed under: uncultured bacterium
Lineage: Bacteria
Description: partial 16S ribosomal RNA
Rfam family: Bacterial small subunit ribosomal RNA
Source: RNAcentral